AGUUGUGGUGACUUGCUUUCUGGCACAUUCGGUAAGUUUUCAAAGGAACCUAACUCUGCCACAUGUAUAGAAGUGGCCAAGGCUAGAUGACAAAGAGAUCCCUCUCAAGCCUUUCCUGCAUCAGAGACUGGCUCCCACAUGC
This 142-nucleotide small nucleolar RNA is filed under the name Carlito syrichta (Philippine tarsier). RNAcentral describes it as "Small nucleolar RNA SNORA12 (ENSTSYG00000023394.2)". It matches the Rfam family "Small nucleolar RNA SNORA12". Rfam says of the family: U108 belongs to the H/ACA family of snoRNAs. The sequence is predicted to guide the pseudouridylation of the U372 residue in the 28S rRNA subunit. Lineage: Eukaryota; Metazoa; Chordata; Mammalia; Primates; Tarsiidae. The record is from Rfam by way of RNAcentral.